Long non-coding RNA from Heterocephalus glaber (naked mole-rat), 2307 nucleotides. Lineage: Eukaryota; Metazoa; Chordata; Mammalia; Rodentia; Bathyergidae. The record is from Ensembl.
GGAGAAGGAGGACAGAUGAUGCUGUGUUCCAGCAGCAUUUCUGUGCUUGGCAAAACAAAAGCUCUGAAGCUAACUGGACCAACGUUUCUGAGAUGACAACUGGGAACCACUCAUUGUCAUCUGUGAAUACACCUGGAGCCUAUUGGUGAAACAAGAUUAAAAAACAGUCUGAGUUCCUGCCCCUUCCUUGGACAUUUCUAAUCAAUCAGCAGCUUUCAGAAGCAUAGCGAUGAUGCUCCUUCCACUGACUUCAGGGCAUGAAAUUCGAGUUUUGGGAACUCUAGUUAAGUGAUUUCCUGGAAUCCCUGCUACUCUGGAUUACAGAUGGAGCUGAGGAUAGGCACCUGGCAAAAGCCAGUGGGGAAGGGUCUUGUUUUAUUCCAUUUUGGUGCUGAGGAGCGAACCAGGUUCCUAUGUAUGGAGAUCAAGCAUUCAACCACUGAGCUCUAUCUCCAGCUGCAGAGAGAAGGAUUUUAUGUGCUAUCCUAUGGAGACUGUCUUGUAGAAAAUGGGACUUUCAGAGGAUUACAGGUGAGAAGAACUUUGAAAGUAGGCUGGGAAAGAUACAUGAACACAGUUAAAGAAAGAUUCAGUUACCUGUGGUCAACAUGGCCCAAAAAAUAUGAAAUGGAAAAUUCCAGGAAAACAUUUCAUAGCUUUUAUACAACUUUUACUGCAGCAUAUCAAUACUGAAGGUCCGACGUCAAAGUUCACAGGCUUGGCUACCCCUGAAGCCUUUCUCCUCGGCUUGGAAAUAGCCACUACUCACUGUGUCCUCAGAGGCUGGGUCCUGUGCUGUGAGCACUUCAGGUGUCUCUGUUCUUACAAGGACAGCAUUCAGGUUUGAUUGGGGCCAAGCUACGAGCCAGCCACCUUUUAACCUAGUUAUCUCCCCACACCUCAUCUGCAAUACACUGGGAAACGGAGUUCGAACAGCAACAUAGGAAUUUGGGGAUUGGGGAACACAGUGCAGCCCAGUGAUUAUUUAUUAUCUCUUAAAGUUGAGGUGGCAUGGGAAUUUGGACGAAGGGGCGACAGAGUUCCUGCUUCCCAAAGUCCGGAGACUCAGCUGAUGGCCUGGAGGCUGGCGACAGAGCCCAGAAGACCUGUUUAUUUAUUUAUUUUUUACUUAAAUUCUUUUAUUGGUACAUUUUAGGUAUACAGUGUGUUUACAUUUAUCAUUGGGUGCUUGUUCCUGUACAUGAUGUAUCUUGGGUCUUAUUUUUUCCCCAUUCGCUGUCCUCCCUUCCCUAUUCACAAAGACAUUGUUUCCAUUUUUUCCUUUUCUCGUAAUUUUUCCUUUCCCUUCUUUCCUUUUCCUUUCCCCUCCCACUUCCCCUACCCCUUUGGACCUCUUCUUAUUAUUUCAAAUUAUCAAUUAUUGGUUUUAAUCAUUUUAAUUCUUAUUUACACUUUUAGUUUCUCACACCAGAGGAACUAUUCAGUAUUUACACAUGUGUGUCCUAUUUAUUUCACUUAAGGGUAUGUCCUCACUAUGCAUCCAUUUAGCUACAAAUGUCUCUAGUUUCUCAUUCUUUAUUUCUGAGUAGCACUCCAUUUUGAAAAAAAACACAUCUUCUUUAUCCAGUUUCCAGUUGAUGGGCACUUGGGCUGUUUCCAAGCUUUAGCUAUUAAAAACUGUGCCGCUAUGAACAUGGGUGCACAUAUAUCGCUGUGGUAUGAUUAUUUUAAUUCUUUUGGGAAGAUCCCCAGCAGUGGAAUAGCUGGGUCAAAUGGGACCUCUAGCCCUAGUUCUUUGAGGUAUCUCCAUACUGAUUUCCACAGUGGUUGCACCAGUCUGCACUCCCACCAACAAUGGAGAAGAGUUCCUUUCUCCCCACACCCCCGCCAGCAUUUGUUAUUGGCUGAUUUCUUGAUAGCAGCCCUCGGAAGACCUGUUUAUGCGUGGUCUGCUUAUGGAUGCUGCUUGUGGGGUGUGACCUGCAGUGGAGCUGUUCCCCCCUCAGUCUCCCCAAGUUCCUUCCACUUCCAGUUGGCCUGGCUGCUGUGUUCUCAAGAGAGGAAACAGAGAUGAAGCCAGGGAGAAGCAAUCUCUUUUUGGAUGAUCUGGUCUCAGAAGACAGGCAGCAUCUUGUCUACUGUCUACCGUUAGAUAAGACAGUUAAAAAUGUGUGCCAAGAUUUAAGGGGAGAGGGCAGAGACCCCACCUGUAGUGGGAAGAAUGUCAGUGGUAGUGUAAGGAAGGCAUGUGAGAUGUGAGAGAGAUUUCUAUUUCUUUAUAUCAAUAUGUAGAUAUUACAUAUGUAAGAAUUAUGUUUAUCAGUUGUAUAAUAUGUACAUAUGCUA